AUUCUGCCCAUGCGGGGAAGGAUGAGAAGCUUCGACCAAGGUUCGACUCGAGCGCCAGCGAGAGAGCGUUGCCGCAGGCAACGACCCGAAGGGCGAAGCGCGCAGC
This 106-nucleotide small RNA is filed under the name Escherichia coli. RNAcentral describes it as "partial RtT sRNA". It matches the Rfam family "RtT RNA", at positions 1 to 104 of the family's 130-position model. Rfam says of the family: This family represents a bacterial cis-regulatory element known as RtT RNA. The exact function of RtT is unknown although it is thought that it may be involved in changing the cellular response in relation to amino acid starvation. The record is from RNAcentral. Lineage: Bacteria; Pseudomonadati; Pseudomonadota; Gammaproteobacteria; Enterobacterales; Enterobacteriaceae.